CUCUUUGUCCUCUUCCUGUGCUGGGUCCGAGCUGGUGGCCGGGCCGGGUGGAGCAGCAGUUCCAGCCCCGGGUGUCCCUGGAGCGGUGGGAGCUGCCGGUGGCCCCAGGCACCAUCCCCUGAGGAGCUGCUGAGGGACGCUGCACUGAAGACCUUGAAAACAACCACAGACUGGUGGGAGCCAGCAGAGAGAGAAGCUGAAGGCCACCAGCAAGAGCAGUGAACAGGGAUGUGCUGCUGCCACUCGAGACCCCGGGUGAGGCCACAGAUAUCCCAUGUGCUGUCCCUGUGAUGUCCCUGCUCCUCCAGUGCAGAGCAGGAGGGCUGCUCUGCACUGGAGGAGGAGACCGAGGGAGAGCCCAGGAGCAUCAGCAGCUGCAAUCCCUCCUAAUUUAGUUUUAGUUAGAGAUGUUUACAUUUGGACUGAGAGAGUUAGAAGUUUAUGCUUAUUCAGCUGUGUAGACCGAUAUUUAGAGAGGUAUAUAUGUAUGUAUAUUGUUAUAUUGAUGCAUGUAUAUUGAUGUGUUUACAUCUGUAUUUAUAUAUACGGGUUCAGAUGUACAGCUGUAUAGUUCUGUUGAUGGAGUUGUAAGGA
This is a long non-coding RNA of Prinia subflava (tawny-flanked prinia), 594 nucleotides long. RefSeq lists it as uncharacterized. The record is from RefSeq and is a predicted model, not a curated record. The transcript is spliced from 3 exons. Lineage: Eukaryota; Metazoa; Chordata; Aves; Passeriformes; Cisticolidae.